This is a long non-coding RNA of Myiozetetes cayanensis, 2222 nucleotides long. RefSeq lists it as uncharacterized. The transcript is spliced from 3 exons. Lineage: Eukaryota; Metazoa; Chordata; Aves; Passeriformes; Tyrannidae. The record is from RefSeq and is a predicted model, not a curated record.
CUGGCUUAUAACGUUGGUUUCCCAGUGGCCAAAUAAAGCUGGAGUGGAAUGCCUUGGAAAAAUCUCAUUCCUCUCCCAACAAGGCACAUGAUGAAACCUCUGGAGGGGCAUGAGCUACCUGCUGCCUGGUGAUGGGAGCUGAGACGGGGCAGCUGACAUGGACCUGCCACCCUGUGACCCUCAGCAACUCCCUAAAUCCACAGGGAAGCUCUGCUUAGAAACCUCAGGAUGGGAACAAAACACAGUGGUGGGGGACACUGUGUUCCUCUGAUCCUUUGCUCAGCAUUAAGAGGGAUAACUGGAGCCAACUAAGUAAGCAGCUCUUUUGGAUGGCCAGUGUCCAGGGUCAUGGAGAUCCCCCCCCUUCACCUCUCUGCUGUCUACUGAACCACUGGUUGUUGGUCCUGGCAACCAGGCUCAGACUGAGAUUUCUGUGCCCACUGUGCUUGCUCAGCUGUGCCCAGCUUGGCAUUGUCCUCUGAGUGCUGAGAUGUCCGUGCAUUCCUGCCUCUCCUGGGGGAACACAACUCCCAGAGGGAUCUGCAGUCCCUGGAGCGUGCCUGCCUUCAACUUCAUCCCUAGGUUUCUGCCUUAUUGUUUGUAGUUUGAUGUUUAGCUCGCUGAAAAUGUUGGUUUAACACUAGUGGGAGGGGAAGCUCAUAAAGACCAUUUUGCUUUGGCUCUUUUAAAAAGCAAAACAAAAGCAAAAGGCUUUUAAAAAAUGUUUUCGUUUCAAAGUUAUAAAGGAAAGAUGGGUUAGAGAUGAGAAAAGGACAAAUAGAUGCUUGUGAAACCUGCUGUGGAGGAAGAAACACAAGAUCUUUUGUUUGAAGAUGAACAGAAAGCUGAAACCAGCAAAAAUUCCCCCCUCCCCACCUGCACAGAUGCUUCAGGUUGGUUCUUCUAGAUUGGCGCAUUGCUGGAUGAAAAGCAAACUCAUUCUUUUCCCUGUUGGGGCUCCAGGUUCCCGUUGCUUACAUUUCAUCAUCUUGUAGUGACUUUGAUCCCUGAAGACUCCUUAGGUGCUUUACAAAUCAGGCACGCAAACCUCGGCUCAUCUGCCUCAGAGAUGCCACCAGGGCUGGGUGAGCCAGGAGGCUGCUGGUCAGCGUGGUGCCACCCUCCUGGCAGCAGCUGGGAAGGAUGGGAAGGACCUGCUCAUUCAGUAAGGCUUAUAAAAGCCUUUAGUGGCCAUAUUACCACCAUCUGCAGGGAUGUUUUGUGCUUCCAGCUCUGGAAACCCAGUGGCAAAUUUAACCCCCAUUUCUCCCUUUUCCUUGAGGUGAUGAGAUGAUCUUUAAGAUCCCUUCCAAUCCAAUUCUAUGGUUCUGUGAGACAGCACAGACCUUCCAGAUCUCCUGAUCCAAGUCCCAGAGCUGAGCAAAGGUAGGUUGCUGCUGAUGACCAGACCCCACAGUGAUGGGCACACUGGAGCUGGACCAGGGCAGACAGCGUGUUACAGCCUGUGCCUGUCGUCUGCCUCAGCCUGUGUGUGUGUUUAUUGACCUAUGCAAUUUUUUUUUUUUUUCAGACUAAGUCUCCUGGGAGCCUGGAAGCUGAAUUCCCUUCCAUGUACCUGAGGGUGCUGGAGAGUCUGGCUGCCAGCGAUCGGGUCCCAAAGCCACCACGAAAGUCAUCGCAGGCAGGUGGGGAGCAGCACUAGAGCUGCUCUGACCAUGGGGUACCAGGUGCUGGAGACACCCAAGUGGAUGCUGCCAAUGGAAGUGCUGCCUCCCUGCCCACAGGGACAGCUGUCCGGAGCACAAGAGCCAGCUUGUCCUCAGAGAGGAGACACCACGGUCCUGCUGGUAAAGGCUGGCAGAAAAUCCUCUCCCCAUGUAAGCAGCAGGAUCCCCAGCCCUGCCAUGUGCACAGCCAGCUGCCCCCUGCCCUACAAUGGGCUCUGCAUCCUCCUCCCAGCACAAAGGGCAGGAAAACACAGCCCUGCUCCAUUGCUGCUUACGGUGUCACAGCCCCACUCCUCAGGCUCUGGGGACGGGCAGGGGAACUGGCUAUGAAACCACAACUGGUCUUUGUGAAGAAAAGUCAAACUCCUCUUGGUGCCACGCAGGGCCUGGGACAGUGCAGGAGGUGCAUCUGGUGUUGGUGGGAGACUCACCCUGGCCUGGGGCUGCUCUUGGCAAGGCAUCUGGGAAGUGCCUCUGGGGUGAGAAAGUUGAGCGCUUGCCAGGUACAGAACUGGACAGAUCAAGAAGUCAAGA